Molecule: ribosomal RNA, 430 nt
Filed under: uncultured bacterium
Lineage: Bacteria
Description: partial 16S ribosomal RNA
Rfam family: Bacterial small subunit ribosomal RNA
Source: RNAcentral
ACGAACGCUGGCGGCAGGCUUAACCCCUGCAAGUCGCGCGCCCCGCAAGGGGAGCGGCAGACGGGUGAGUAACGCGUGGGAACGUACCUUUUGGUUCGGAACAACUCCGGGAAACUGGAGCUAAUACCGGAUAAGCCCUAACGGGGAAAGAUUUAUCGCCGAAAGAUCGGCCCGCGUCUGAUUAGCUAGUUGGUGAGGUAACGGCUCACCAAGGCGACGAUCAGUAGCUGGUCUGAGAGGAUGAUCAGCCACACUGGGACUGAGACACGGCCCAGACUCCUACGGGAGGCAGCAGUGGGGAAUAUUGGACAAUGGGCGCAAGCCUGAUCCAGCCAUGCCGCGUGAGUGAUGAAGGCCUUAGGGUUGUAAAGCUCUUUUGUCCGGGAAGAUAAUGACUGUACCGGAAGAAUAAGCCCCGGCUAACUUCGUG